CCUUAUAGUUUUAAAAAUAUCAAUAAACAGCAAAUCAACACAGCUUCGAAAUAAUAACCGAAAAAGACCUAAAUAAUAAUAAUACAUAAUUAAUAUACAGCGCCGCCACUCCCACCACGCGCAUCACGAGCUGUGCGUCAACCCAUUCUCACUCCCAAAGCGUCAGAAACUGAAGCGUGGUCAAGCGCCUCUAGCGUCACUGACAUGAGAUGUUUAUCGCUAUGAAAUCACUUUCAAGAAGUCUCAUUCAGCACACAUCGCGAUACUUGCCAUCAGUUUACAAGAGCCGCAGGUUGGGUGAGUUAUACAGUCUAUGCUGAAAAGACGUAAAGGAAGCAGUCACCCCAGUCGUGUUUGUGGAGAGGUAUUCCUUCAGAAAUGGAGAAGACAGAAAGCUGCAAAGACAGGAUUGUUUGCAGAUAAUGCUGUUCUUCUUUUUCAGAAGUUUUUGGUGAGCCAACC
Molecule: long non-coding RNA, 462 nt
Organism: Carassius carassius (crucian carp)
Lineage: Eukaryota; Metazoa; Chordata; Actinopteri; Cypriniformes; Cyprinidae
Exons: 3
Source: RefSeq, a predicted model, not a curated record